RNAcentral lists this unclassified non-coding RNA (336 nucleotides) under soil metagenome. RNAcentral describes it as "partial contains 5.8S ribosomal RNA, internal transcribed spacer 2, and large subunit ribosomal RNA". The stretch from base 1 to 120 matches the Rfam family "5.8S ribosomal RNA", at positions 35 to 154 of the family's 154-position model. The record is from RNAcentral.
GAUGAAGAACGUAGCGAAAUGCGAUAAGUAAUGUGAAUUGCAGAAUUCAGUGAAUCAUCGAAUCUUUGAACGCACAUUGCGCCAGCCAGUAGUCUGGCGGGCAUGCCUGUUCGAGCGUCAUUUCAACCAUCAAGCCCCAGGCUUGUGUUGGGGACCUGCGGCUGCCGCAGGCCCUGAAAACCAGUGGCGGGCUCGCUGUCACACCGGGCGUAGUAGAUUUUAUCUCGCUCAGGGCGUGCUGCGGGUUCCGGCCGUUAAAAAGCCUUUUUUACCCAAGGUUGACCUCGGAUCAGGUAGGAAGACCCGCUGAACUUAAGCAUAUCAAUAAGCGGAGGA